RNAcentral lists this small nuclear RNA (24 nucleotides) under Arabidopsis thaliana (thale cress). RNAcentral describes it as "snRNA_08977". Lineage: Eukaryota; Viridiplantae; Streptophyta; Magnoliopsida; Brassicales; Brassicaceae. The record is from RNAcentral.
GUCGCUUGAUACAUGAAACUGCGC